This 739-nucleotide ribosomal RNA is filed under the name uncultured bacterium. Its description in RNAcentral is "bacterial SSU rRNA". It matches the Rfam family "Bacterial small subunit ribosomal RNA", at positions 182 to 916 of the family's 1533-position model. The record is from RNAcentral.
CCCGGGCUACGGAAACCUGGGGGGGUUAGAUCCCUUGGGACUCGAGGCGGGGCUUGCGGCCUAUCAGCUAGUUGGCGGGGUAACGGCCCACCAAGGCGGUGACGGGUAGCUGGUCUGAGAGGAUGGCCAGCCACAUUGAGACUGAGAGACGGCCCAGACUCCUACGGGAGGCAGCAGUGGGGAAUCUUGCGCAAUGGCCGGAAGGCUGACGCAGCGACGCCGCGUGGAGGAUGACGCCCUUCGGGGUGUAAACUCCUGUUGCCCGGGACGAAGGCUGGGGAUGCCCCAGCGUGACGGUACCGGGUGAGGAAGCACCGGCUAACUCUGUGCCAGCAGCCGCGGUAAUACAGAGGGUGCGAGCGUUGUCCGGAAUCACUGGGCGUAAAGGGCGCGUAGGUGGCUGGAGAAGCGUGUGGUGAAAGCCCGGGGCUCGACCCCGGGUCGGCCAUGCGAACUGACUGGCUGGAGCACGGUAGAGGCCGAUGGAAUUCCGGGUGUAGCGGUGGAAUGCGUAGAGAUCCGGAAGAACACCGGGGGCGAAGGCGGUCGGCUGGGCCGUGGCUGACACUGAGGCGCGACAGCGUGGGGAGCAAACAGGAUUAGAUACCCUGGUAGUCCACGCCGUAAACGAUGGGCACUAGGUCCUUGGGGGAGCGACCCCGUGAGGGCCGGCGCUAACGCAUUAAGUGCCCCGCCUGGGGAGUACGGCCGCAAGGCUGAAACUCAAAGGAAUUGACGG